This is a long non-coding RNA of Lathyrus oleraceus (garden pea), 906 nucleotides long. RefSeq lists it as uncharacterized. Lineage: Eukaryota; Viridiplantae; Streptophyta; Magnoliopsida; Fabales; Fabaceae. The record is from RefSeq and is a predicted model, not a curated record. The transcript is spliced from 3 exons.
AUAUCGUUUCAUUCUCACUUUCUUCAUUUAAACACACGAACAAACUUGCAAGAACUUCGUCGCGUCAGAAAUCGCCUCUGGCGGCGGUGGAGGUUCAAAUCCUCCACAACAUACAUCAAAAUACUCGUCGUAAUCCCCUCUCUCACAAAUCAACCUCGCUUCUUUCUAACUCUCUGCCAUAAACCUAAAUUGAAGGCUCUGCCAGUAUCUCUGUUACAAUCAGUUAAAUUAACUUCUAUGUUGCAGUUAGCAAAUCAAACAUACGAAAUAAGCACAAAGCUGGAGCAUUAACCAGGACCAAAUUAAAGUUAUGUAGAGGGCUAGUUGUAGAACUGUCAUGAAACUGGAUGUUUGGAUUAUGAAAUGCUUGAUGUCUUUAUAAAAGCAGUUAGUGGUCUUGUGGAUUGGAAUAUUGAUGUUAAUGCUUGAAAAUGGGCUGUUAUGCAAAAUUGGCUUAACAUUAACCUUGAGUGUUUGGAUUGUGAACCACACAUGAUUAAGUCAUACGCUCAUGCUUUGAAUUGGGUGAGAUGCACACGAAAAUGUUGCUUUGUUUGAUGUAAGGUUGCUAGUCUUAUGAGGUAAAACAUGGAUCAUGGAGAGUUUGGCAUAAAGGCAUCAUCAUCAUGGCAUGAAGAAAUAUAUCAUGGAUUACUUGGCCAUGAAGGAAACUUGGAUAUGAAGUCAUUUGAGAAGAUGGAAGAGUGAAGAUCAAAGAGAAGUUUAGGGUUAGGAUUAGUGGUUAGGUUAGUUGACUUUGGUCAACUAAUUGACCAAAAAGUCAACGGUUGACUAAAGUCAAUUAUAGGUCAAAGUUGUAUAUUUUUUGUGUAAUCUUGAUUUUGGACCUUUUGUAAUGGAAUAUGUGAAUGUUUUGGGAAUACAAUGGAUCCUUUUGUAAUGCAA